RNAcentral lists this ribosomal RNA (163 nucleotides) under uncultured bacterium. RNAcentral describes it as "partial 16S ribosomal RNA". It matches the Rfam family "Bacterial small subunit ribosomal RNA", at positions 355 to 511 of the family's 1533-position model. The record is from RNAcentral.
UAGGGAAUCUUCCACAAUGGCGCAAGCCUGAUGGAGCAACACCGCGUGAGUGAAGAAGGGUUUCGGCUCGUAAAGCUCUGUUGUUAAAGAAGAACACGUAUGAGAGUAACUGUUCAUACGUUGACGGUAUUUAACCAGAAAGUCACGGCUAACUACGUGCCAA